RNAcentral lists this unclassified non-coding RNA (314 nucleotides) under plant metagenome. Its description in RNAcentral is "partial contains 5.8S ribosomal RNA, internal transcribed spacer 2, and large subunit ribosomal RNA". The stretch from base 1 to 105 matches the Rfam family "5.8S ribosomal RNA", at positions 50 to 154 of the family's 154-position model. The record is from RNAcentral.
GAAAUGCGAUAAUUAAUGUGAAUUGCAGAAUUCAGUGAAUCAUCGAGUCUUUGAACGCACAUUGCGCCCCCUGGUAUUCCGGGGGGCAUGCCUGUCCGAGCGUCAUUGCUGCCCUCAAGCACGACUUGUGUGUUGGGCUUCCGUCCCUGGCAACGGGGACGGGCCCAAAAGGCAGUGGCGGCACCAUGUCUGGUCCUCGAGCGUAUGGGGCUUUGUCACCCGCUCCCGUAGGUCCAGCUGGCAGCUAGCCUCGCAACCAAUCUUUUUAACCAGGUUGACCUCGUAUCAGGUAGGGAUACCCGCUGAACUUAAGC